This 110-nucleotide ribosomal RNA is filed under the name Bacillus massilioanorexius. The record is from RNAcentral. Lineage: Bacteria; Bacillati; Bacillota; Bacilli; Caryophanales; Bacillaceae.
GUAAUGAUGGCGAAGAGGUCACACCCGUUCCCAUUCCGAACACGGAAGUUAAGCUCUUCAGCGCCGAUGGUAGUUGGGGGUCUCCCCCUGUGAGAGUAGGACGUUGCCAG